RNAcentral lists this microRNA precursor (136 nucleotides) under Hordeum vulgare. RNAcentral describes it as "microRNA MIR1122". It matches the Rfam family "MIR1120/MIR1122 microRNA precursor family". Lineage: Eukaryota; Viridiplantae; Streptophyta; Magnoliopsida; Poales; Poaceae. The record is from RNAcentral.
AAAGUACUUCCUCCGUUCCAAAAUUCUUGUCUUAGAUUUGUCUAGAUAUAAAUGUAUCUAGUCAUGUUUUAGUAUUUAGAUACAUUCAUUUCUAGACAAACCUAAGACAAAAAUUUUGGGACGGAGGAAGUAGUGA